Molecule: ribosomal RNA, 108 nt
Filed under: uncultured bacterium
Lineage: Bacteria
Description: partial 16S ribosomal RNA
Rfam family: Bacterial small subunit ribosomal RNA
Source: RNAcentral
CCUUGUACACACCGCCCGUCACGUCACGAAAGUCGGUAACACCCGAAGCCAGUGGCUCAACCUCGUAAGGGGAGGGAGCUGUCGAAGGUGGGAUCGGCGAUUGGGACG